This 1342-nucleotide long non-coding RNA is filed under the name Lonchura striata (white-rumped munia). Its description in RNAcentral is "domestica (Bengalese finch) lncRNA (ENSLSDG00000001198.1)". Lineage: Eukaryota; Metazoa; Chordata; Aves; Passeriformes; Estrildidae. The record is from RNAcentral.
CAAAUCUGACCGGGGGACCCCAAAUCUGACCAGGGAACCCCAAAUCUGACCGGGGGGACCCCAAAUCCUCGGCUUUGGGGGGUUCUGGGACAUUUUGGGGUCCAUGAGGGGUUUUUGGCGUCCCCGUGAGUUUUGGGGUGCCCCCUGUGGAUUUUGGGGUCCUUGAGGGGGUCUCUGUGGGGGUUUUGGGGUCCCUUGGGGUCUCUGUGAGUUUUGGGGUACCUCCGGGAUGUUUUGGGGUCUCUGUGAGUUUUGGGGUGCCCCCUGUGGAUUUUGGGGUCCUUGAGGGGGUCUCUGCGGGUUUUUUGGGGUCUCUGUGGGGUUUUUGGGGUCCCACUGGGAUGUUUUGGGGUCCCUGUGGGGUUUUUGGGGUCUCUGUGAAUUUUGGGGUGCCCCCUGUGGAUUUUGGGGUCCUUCUGGGGUCUCUGUGGGGUUUUUGGGGUCCCACUGGGAAGUUUUGGGGUCCCCCCGGGUUUUGGGGUCAUUGAGUGAAGUUUUGGGGUCUCUGUGAGGUCUCCGUGUAUUUUGGGGUCUCUGUGAGUUUUGGGGUCCCUGCGUGGGGUUUUUGGGGUCUCUGUGGGGUUUUUGGGGUCUCUGUGGGGUCUCUGUGUAUUUUGGGGUCCCACUGGGAAGUUUUGGGGUCCCCACCGGGAGGUUUUGGGGUCUCUGUGAGUUUUGGGGUCGCUGUGUGGGGUUUUUGGGGUCCCUGUGUAUUUUGGGGUCCCCCACUUUGUGCUUUGGGGUCUCUGUGGGGUUUUCGGGGUCCCUGAGGGGUCUCUGUGGGUUUUUUGGGAUCUCUGUGAGUUUUGAGGUCCCCCCGGGAUGUUUUGGGGUCCCCCCCGGGUUUUUGGGUCCCCCUGGCACGUUUUUGGGGUUCCCGGGAUGUUUUUAGGGUCCCCCCUCCGGUUUCUGGGGUCCCCCUGGGAUGUUUUGGGGUUCCCGGGAUGUUUUGGGGUCCCCCCGGGUUUUGGGGUCCCCCCGGGAUGUUUUGGGGUUCCCGGGAUGUUUUUGGGAUCCCCCAAGAUGUUUUAGGGUUCCCGGGAUGUUUUUGGGGUCCCCCCGGGUUUUGGGGUCCCCCCGGGAUGUUUUGGGGUCCCCCCGGGUUUUGGGGUCCCCCCGUGAUGUUUUAGGGUUCCCGGGAUGUUUUGGGGUCCCCCCGGGAUGUUUUUGGGGUCCCCCCGGGAUGUUUUGGGGUCCCCCCGGUUUUUGGGGUCACCCCGGGGGCCGCUGGGGGACGCAGCCGCCGAGCUCCAGCGCCUGCGGCCACCCCUCGUACUUGUUGGAGCCGCGGCUGUUCCGGACGUGCUGCGGGGGUCCCAAAGUGCCCAAAAUCACCCCAAAA